UGCAGUCGAGGGGCAGCGGGUGGAGUAUUUCGGUACUCCUGCCGGCGACCGGCGCACGGGUGCGUAACGCGUAUGCAACCUACCUUUAACAGGGGGAUAAUCCGAAGAAAUUUGGUCUAAUACCCCAUAAUAUCAUUUAAGGCAUCUUAGAUGGUUGAAAAUUCCGAUGGUUAGAGAUGGGCAUGCGUUGUAUUAGCUAGUUGGUGAGGUAACGGCUCACCAAGGCUACGAUACAUAGGGGGACUGAGAGGUUUUCCCCCCACACUGGUACUGAGACACGGACCAGACUCCUACGGGAGGCAGCAGUGAGGAAUAUUGGUCAAUGGACGCAAGUCUGAACCAGCCAUGCCGCGUGCAGGAUGAAGGUGCUAUGCAUUGUAAACUGCUUUUGUACGAGGGUAAAUGCAGGUACGUGUACCUGUUUGAAAGUAUCGUACGAAUAAGGGUCGGCUAACUCCGUGCCAGCAGCCGCGGUAAUACGGAGGACCCGAGCGUUAUCCGGAUUUAUUGGGUUUAAAGGGUGCGUAGGCGGAUUAGUAAGUUAGAGGUGAAAGCUCGAUGCUCAACAUCGAAAUUGCCUCUGAUACUGUUAGUCUAGAGUAUAGUUGCGGAAAGGCGGAAUGUGUGGUGUAGCGGUGAAAUGCUUAGAUAUCACACAGAACACCGAUUGCGAAGGCAGCUUUCCAAGCUAUUACUGG
RNAcentral lists this ribosomal RNA (698 nucleotides) under uncultured bacterium. RNAcentral's name for it is "bacterial SSU rRNA". It matches the Rfam family "Bacterial small subunit ribosomal RNA", at positions 56 to 743 of the family's 1533-position model. The record is from RNAcentral.